RNAcentral lists this long non-coding RNA (1001 nucleotides) under Salmo salar (Atlantic salmon). Its description in RNAcentral is "lncRNA (ENSSSAG00000119477.1)". Lineage: Eukaryota; Metazoa; Chordata; Actinopteri; Salmoniformes; Salmonidae. The record is from RNAcentral.
AGGCUAUUAGUCAUGCUACAUCCAAAAUGGCACCCUAUUCCCAAUAAAAUGCACUACUUUUCACCAGAGCCGUAUGGGCCCUGGUCAAACGGAGUGUACUAUAUAACGAAUAGGGUGCGGUUUAGAACGCUAAACAGUCAUGGUCUACUGCAGGUCAGCCUAAUUAUUUAUAUUAUAAUUUUUAUUUUGCUAUAAAUUCUACAUCCUAAACGUUUAGAAACAUCUCAUUCUUGAUUCUACCACCUUUGAAUUGAUCGGAUCUCUGAAUGAGAGUGUAAUUUCCCCUCUUAGUUUAAUUGCAGGGUUAAAGUAAACCUGUAAUUCCCUGUGUCCAGGGCAACAUAAUAAAACACAGGGAAAGACUUGUGAGGACAGCCACUAACUGAACAUGUUGUUGAUGAUGGUAGGAGACAGACAGGCACAGCCAGAAGUGUGUGUGUGGUGGGUGUGUCUGAGUGUGGUUAAGGUGAUUGGAGACUGGGAUGCUUUUAAAACCAAAGGGCUCCCUUCUGGAGAGGCCCACAGGUCUGCCUCUCAGUGUGGUUAAUGAAGACGUCACAGAAUGUCGGUUAGGCUACACCCCCCCCCCCACAUUGACUGCAAGGCCAGCCGGGAAUCCACACUGGAUAUUGCUCCACUUUCCAAAUCCAAACUAAACAUAGCUCCGAUUUAAACAGUGAAACAUAUUUAGUAUGGAUUCCAGGCUAGUUGACAUGUAGCAAACCAGUAAGGUCUAUUCAGAGGAGUUGAACCACUGACAGUUGGAGUCUAGUCUUGAGGGUGAUGUUUCACAGCUCAGUCUCUCUUGCAGAUAAUAUUGUGUUUCAUAGCUCUGGACCAACCAGGCGGCAGCGCUGUGUUCUAGUCAGACAUGGAUGGAGACCUCACGGAGCGUCCACUAGCAGGGCUGUUACUGAAGGACCAACCAGGAGACAGAGCUGUGUUCUAGUCAGACAUGGAUGGAGACCUCACGGAGCGUCCACUAGCAGGGCUGUUACUGA